Molecule: ribosomal RNA, 465 nt
Filed under: uncultured bacterium
Lineage: Bacteria
Description: partial 16S ribosomal RNA
Rfam family: Bacterial small subunit ribosomal RNA
Source: RNAcentral
CCUACGGGGGUCAGCCGUGGGGAAUCUUGCGCCAUGGGCGAAAGCCUGACGCAGCGACGCCGCGUGAGGGAUGAAGGUCUUCGGAUCGUAAACCUCUGUCAGCAGGGAAGAACGGUCACUGUGCUAAUCAGCAGUGAAUUGACGGUACCUGCAAAGGAAGCACCGGCUAACUCCGUGCCAGCAGCCGCGGUAAUACGGAGGGUGCGAGCGUUAAUCGGAAUUACUGGGCGUAAUGCGCUCGUAGGCGGUCUGUCAAGUCAAGGGUGAAAUCCCCGCGCGCAACGUGGGAACUGCCUUUGAAACUGGCAAACUUGAGUGUGUGAGAGGAUAGUGGAAUUCCAGGUGUAGGAGUGAAAUCCGUAGAUAUCUGGAGGAACAUCAGUGGCGAAGGCGACUAUCUGGCACAUAACUGACGCUGAGGAGCGAAAGCGUGGGUAGCAAACAGGAUUAGAUACCCGAGUAGUC